AGGUGAGGGUAAAGAGUGAGAACACAACUAUAUAGUGGGCUUGGCGGUAUGCUCUUGAAGAAAUGGUUGCAGGGACCCGAUCGACUUUAUUUCAAUCACCCAACAAAAACUAAAAACUAAAAAAUAUUUAGCUCAAGUCCCAAAUAAGUGACCUCAAUUCAACUGUGGUAUUGUUGUACUGUUGUAUUAUGAAUUAUGAAUUUUGUUUUGUACUGUAAGGGACAAGUAUGUAUGUUGUACUGUAAUUUUGAAUUUUAUUUUGUAUUGUUAUUUCUUGUUCUAAAUUGAAGACUACAACUAUAUAGCUAUCAUACUAAACUUAUUUAUUUUAGUUUCUGUAACGAUUUCUUGCAACUUAAUUUAAUCUAUGUUAAAUUGCAAUUUUUUUAGUUUGUUUUAGAAAUAAUAUUUUCGACAAACUUUG
This 424-nucleotide long non-coding RNA is filed under the name Prunus dulcis (almond). Its description in RNAcentral is "sRNA ncRNA". The record is from RNAcentral. Lineage: Eukaryota; Viridiplantae; Streptophyta; Magnoliopsida; Rosales; Rosaceae.